RNAcentral lists this ribosomal RNA (624 nucleotides) under Guptibacillus algicola. RNAcentral describes it as "bacterial SSU rRNA". It matches the Rfam family "Bacterial small subunit ribosomal RNA", at positions 70 to 677 of the family's 1533-position model. Lineage: Bacteria; Bacillati; Bacillota; Bacilli; Caryophanales; Guptibacillaceae. The record is from RNAcentral.
AAAUGGGAGCUUGCUCCCAUUUCUCAGCGGCGGACGGGUGAGUAACACGUGGGCAACCUGCCCUACAGACUGGGAUAACUCCGGGAAACCGGAGCUAAUACCGGGUAAUACAUAGCAUCGCAUGAUGCAACGUUGAAAGUUGGCCUUUGGCUAACACUGUAGGAUGGGCCCGCGGCGCAUUAGCUAGUUGGUAAGGUAACGGCUUACCAAGGCCACGAUGCGUAGCCGACCUGAGAGGGUGAUCGGCCACACUGGGACUGAGACACGGCCCAGACUCCUACGGGAGGCAGCAGUAGGGAAUCUUCCGCAAUGGACGAAAGUCUGACGGAGCAACGCCGCGUGAGUGACGAAGGCCUUCGGGUCGUAAAGCUCUGUUGUUAGGGAAGAACAAGUACCGUUCGAAUAGGGCGGUACCUUGACGGUACCUAACCAGAAAGCCACGGCUAACUACGUGCCAGCAGCCGCGGUAAUACGUAGGUGGCAAGCGUUGUCCGGAAUUAUUGGGCGUAAAGCGCGCGCAGGCGGUCUCUUAAGUCUGAUGUGAAAGCCCACGGCUCAACCGUGGAGGGCCAUUGGAAACUGGGGGACUUGAGUGCAGAAGAGGAGAGUGGAAUUCCACGUGUA